Molecule: ribosomal RNA, 787 nt
Filed under: uncultured Candidatus Poseidoniales archaeon
Lineage: Archaea; Methanobacteriati; Thermoplasmatota; Candidatus Poseidoniia; Candidatus Poseidoniales
Description: SSU rRNA
Rfam family: Archaeal small subunit ribosomal RNA
Source: RNAcentral
AGCCAUGCGAGUCGAGAGAAUAAGAUUCUCGGCAUACCGCUCAGUAACACGUGGAUAACUGCCCUGUGCUGGGGGAUAACCUCGCGAAAGUGAGAACAAUACCCCAUGGGUCACUAUGCCUGGAACGGUUAGUGGCUGAAAGCUCCGGCGGCACAGGAUGGGUCUGCGGCGUAUCAGGUCGUAGGGGGUGUAACGUACCUCCUAGCCUUCGACGCGUACGGGUUGUGAGAGCAAUUGCCCGGAGAUGGAUUCUGAGACACGAAUCCAGGCCCUACGGGGCGCAGCAGGCGCGAAAACUUGACAAUGCGAGAAAUCGUGAUCAGGGGACUCCAGUUGGCUGGAUCAAAAGUCCAGUCUGAACCGACUUUAAAUCGGUCGGGUAAUAGGGGCGGGAAAGACCGGUGCCAGCCGCCGCGGUAAUACCGGCGCCCCAAGUGGUCGUCACUAUUAUUGGGCCUAAAACGUCCGUAGCCGGUUUGGUAAAUCCGUGGGUAAAUCAGACAGCCCAACUGUCUGAAUUCUGCGGGGACUGCCAGACUUGAGACCGGGAGAGGUGCGGGGUACCUGCGGGGUACCGGUAAAAUGGGAUCAUCCCGUAGAGACCACCUGUUGCGAAGGCGCCGCACUAGAACGGAUCUGACGGUCAGGGACGAAGCCUAGGGGCACGAACCGGAUUAGAUACCCGGGUAGUCCUAGGUGUAAACGCUGUGGACUUGGUGUCGGGGACCUUCUGAGGGUUUCCGGUGCCGGAGUGAAGAUGUUAAGUCCACUGCCUGGGGAGUACGUC